RNAcentral lists this long non-coding RNA (2103 nucleotides) under Homo sapiens (human). Its description in RNAcentral is "non-protein coding lnc-STS-4:1". The record is from RNAcentral. Lineage: Eukaryota; Metazoa; Chordata; Mammalia; Primates; Hominidae.
CCUUAUCUAUGUCUACAGGCUGUUCUUUUGUUUGAAAGAACUCAACAGAAGACCCACCUUAACUGCCUGCCUGCCUGAUGGGGUUUUUUUCUUUCUCCUCUCUCACAUGGAACAUAGUCAUUAUGGCAACUUGGUGGGAAUUCCGGGCUCAUGUUAAAAAUUUCCUCCCAUAGCUCCCAAGUCCAAAGUCACUGGUAUCCAUGAACAGUAAGUGGUCUUGUCAAUUCUGAAAAUAUUCCCCCCUUUUGUGUGUGUUUUUUUUUUUAAUUGGGAUUAAGGGAACUUUAAAAAUCAUAUAAUUAAAAGAAUAGUUUGAAGCUUGUAAUAUGGUAUUAAAAAAAAGAACAAAGCUGAAACAUAAUUUGAAAUUCAAAGAUUUCUUCCUGUCUGCUUUGACUAUGGUAGUAUGGUAGUACUUUGAGUAUGGUAGCAUUCAUAUGGCAUCUUCAGUUCUUCAAACAGCCAUCGCCCAAGAUCACUAGGGUCCUUGGGAGUUUAAGCAAGGUUGUCCAAAUCCAUUUCACCUUCUUUUUUCUUCAUUAGUCUAAAGCAGGGGUUGGCAAACUUUGGCUUGCAGGUUGAAGCUGUCUGCCUGUCUUUGUAAAUACAGCUUUUUUGGCACAUAGCCAUGCCCAUUCCUUCACAUCUGAUCUGUGGCUGCUUUCAGGCUACAGAUGCAAGGUUGAGUCAUUGAAACAAAGACCACCCAGACCACAGAGCCCGAAGUAUGUCUCUCUACAGGAAAAGUUAGCUACACCUUGGUCUAAAGGCUUGGUUAUCCUCUGCCUUUGCAUAGGAGUCAGCGUGGAUUUUGAGAAGUGGAAAACUGUCUUCCAGAAAUCCUGCACUCAAGGGCAUGUCCCCCUCCCCGUAAGCAACCUAUAUUUGCAUUUCUUAAAAAAACAAUGCGUUAUUUAAAUAUGAACUAGAGCUAUGCAAUGUGCCUGAAUAUCCUUGUUGUUCUUUGUAAGCAUUUGGGCAUUAUACUCAUUUGGCCCAAUUAUUGGGAUUUGGCUAUGCGCAUCUCAGAUGCCAGAAUGCUCGUGGGAAGACGAGCUGCUGUUAUGUGUGAGCAUGAGACCAGCUGGUAAACAUGAUGCCCAAGGAGAACUAAGGUGCACAUCUUGCCUUAAAAUAAAUACAAUUUAAGGCCGGGCAUGGUGGCUCACGCCUGUAACCCCAGCACUUUGGGAGGCCAAGGCAGGCAGAUCACUUGAAAUCAGGAGUUCAAGAACAGCCAGGCCAACAUAGCAAAACCUUGUCUCUACUAAAAAUACAAAAAUUAGCUGGGUGUGGUGGUGCACGCCUGUGGUCCCAGCUAUUCAGGAGGCUGAGGCAGGAGAAUCGCCUGAACCUGGGAGGUGAGACAGACUGUCAUCCAGGCUGGAGUGCAGUGGCAUGAUUUCGGCUCACUUCAAGUGAUUCUCCUGCCUCAGCCUCCCAAGUGGCUGGGAUUACAGGUGCACACCACUAGGCGAGCUUAUUUUGUGUUUUUAGUAGAGAUGGGGUUUUACCAUGUUGAUCAGGGUGAUCUUGAACUCCUGGCCUCAAGUGAUCCACCACCCCGGCCUCCCAAAGUGCUGGGAUUACAGGUGUGAAUCACCGCACCUGGCCACAUCUUGGUCUUCUUUUCUGUUAUAGACAAUGAGAUAAUUUGGAGGGAAAGAAAAAAACCACUGUUCUCCUUGGUGGGUCUGGAUUUUAGGCAGAUAAAGGAACUUCAGUUUCAAUGGGAGAGACAGGGGUUUGGGGAGGACAUCAGAGAGACCUUGAGGCUUCUUCAGCUCAGCGUGUCCAAACGCCAGAUUUUGGGCUUUUGGUUUCUGAGCUCUAACAGUAGGAAUAGCUUGUGAAAUCUCCUUGAGAUCUUAUGUUUCAUUUUUGAAAAUUCAAAUAUUUGUCAUUCUGUCCUCUGUGUGAUAUUUGCUUGAUUAUUUUAACAAACAGAAGUCAGUAACUGUUUUUGCAUGAAAUAGUCAUAGGCCAAGGCUCUCUUCUUUGAUUUAAGGCUCUUUGGGGUCACUGAAGUGUCAUUUGGAAAAUGACUUCCCAAUGCAUAAUGAUCCCCUAAAGCCUGUCGUAAGUGCUCUUCCAUGAGAGCAG